GUAACCUUCCGCAUGCCUAUACAUGCAAGUCGAACGAACCAUCCCUGAUGAUUGAAGCUUGCUUCAUGAUUCAGACCUUGGUGAGUGGCGGACGGGUAGUAACACGUGGGUAACCUGCCCAGAAGUGGGGGAUAACAUUUGGAAACAAGUGCUAAUACCGCAUAACAACUUAGAUCACAUGAUCUUUGUUUAAAAGAUGGUUUUGCUAUCUCUUCUGGAUGGACCCGCGGCGUAUUAGCUAGUUGGUGAGGUAAUAGCUCACCAAGGCGAUGAUACGUAGCCGACCUGAGAGGGUAAUCGGCCACAUUGGGACUGAGACACGGCCCAAACUCCUACGGGAGGCAGCAGUAGGGAAUCUUCCACAAUGGACGAAAGUCUGAUGGAGCAAUGCCGCGUGAGUGAAGAAGGUUUUCGGAUCGUAAAACUCUGUUGUUGAAGAAGAACAUAUGUGAGAGUAACUGUUCACGUACUGACGGUAUUCAACCAGAAAGCCACGGCUAACUACGUGCCAGCAGCCGCGGUAAUACGUAGGUGGCAAGCGUUGUCCGGAUUUAUUGGGCGUAAAGAGAAUGUAGGCGGUUUAUUAAGUUUGAAGUGAAAGCCCUCGGCUCAACCGAGGAAGUGCUUCGAAAACUGGUAAACUUGAGUGCAGAAGAGGAAAGUGGAACUCCAUGUGUAGCGGUGGAAUGCGUAGAUAUAUGGAAGAACACCAGUGGCGAAGGCGGCUUUCUGGUCUGUAACUGACGCUGAGAUUCGAAAGCAUGGGUAGCAAACAGGAUUAGAUACCCUGGUAGUCCAUGCCGUAAACGAUGAGUGCUAAGUGUUGGAGGGUUUCCGCCCUUCAGUGCUGCAGCUAACGCAUUAAGCACUCAGCCAGAGGAGUACGAUUGCAAGAUUGAAACUCUAUAAUUAUAAUCAACGUUAAUAACAAUAACAUGUAUUGACAUACCAUGAUAAGUUUAGAGAUAAGUCUUUCCCUUCGGGGACAUGUAUACAGGUGGUGCAUGGUUGUCGUCAGCUCGUGUCGUGAGAUGUUGGGUUAAGUCCCGCAACGAGCGCAACCCUUAUUAUCAGUUGCCAGCAUUCAGUUGGGCACUCUGGUGAGACUGCCGGUGAUAAACCGGAGGAAGGUGGGGACGACGUCAAAUCAUCAUGCCCCUUAUGACCUGGGCUACACACGUGCUACAAUGGUCGGUACAACGUGCUGCGAACUCGCGAGGGCAAGCAAAUCACUUAAAACCGAUCUCAGUUCGGAUUGUAGGCUGCAACUCGCCUACAUGAAGCUGGAAUCGCUAGUAAUCGCGGAUCAGCAUGCCGCGGUGAAUACGUUCCCGGGCCUUGUACACACCGCCCGUCACACCAUGAGAGUUUGUAACACCCAAAGUCGGUGGGGUAACCCUUCGGGGAACUAGCCGCCUAAGGUGGGACAAAGAUUAGGGGAAGUCGUAACAAGGAGCCCUAAA
RNAcentral lists this ribosomal RNA (1463 nucleotides) under Companilactobacillus paralimentarius. Its description in RNAcentral is "bacterial SSU rRNA". It matches the Rfam family "Bacterial small subunit ribosomal RNA". The record is from RNAcentral. Lineage: Bacteria; Bacillati; Bacillota; Bacilli; Lactobacillales; Lactobacillaceae.